GACGAACGCUGGCGGCGUGCUUAACACAUGCAAGUCGAACGGAAAGGCCUCUUUCGGGGGGUACUCGAGUGGCGAACGGGUGAGUAACACGUGAGUAACCUGCCCUUGACUUUGGGAUAACUUCAGUAAACUGGGGCUAAUACCGGAUAGGAGCUCCUGCUGCAUGGUGGGGGUUGGAAAGUUUCGGCGGUUGGGGAUGGACUCGCGGCUUAUCAGCUUGUUGGUGGGGUAGUGGCUUACCAAGGCUUUGACGGGUAGCCGGCCUGAGAGGGUGACCGGCCACAUUGGGACUGAGAUACGGCCCAGACUCCUACGGGAGGCAGCAGGGGGGAAUAUUGCACAAUGGGUGGAAGCCUGAUGCAGCAACGCCGUGGGCGGGAGGACGGCCUUCGGGUUGUAAACCGCUUUCGCUCAUGACGAAGCUUUGUGUGACGGUAGUGGGUAAAGAAGCACCGGCUAACUACGUG
Molecule: ribosomal RNA, 467 nt
Filed under: uncultured bacterium
Lineage: Bacteria
Description: partial 16S ribosomal RNA
Rfam family: Bacterial small subunit ribosomal RNA
Source: RNAcentral